GAUCGGCCUGUCUCCUAUCAGCUAGUUGGUGGGGUAAGAGCCUACCAAGGCGAUGACGGGUAGCUGGUCUUAGAGGAUGGUCAGCCACAUUGGAACUGCGACACGGUCCAGACUCCUACGGGAGGCAGCAGUGGGGAAUCAUGGUCAAUGGGCGAAAGCCUGAACCUGCGACGCCGCGUGAGUGAUGAAGGUCGUAAGAUCGUAAAACUCUUUUCAGGGAUCUUAAAGCCUGUCUGUCAACAACAGGCAGGUCUGACUCUCCCUGGAAGAAGCCCCAGCCAACUACGUGCCAGCAGCUGCGGUAAUACGUAGGGGGCGAGCGUUAUUCGGAAUUACUGGGUGUAAAGGGUAUGUAGGCGGCCCUUCAAGUCGCGUGUCAAAGUCCAGUGCUCAACGCUGGGUGUGCACGCGAUACUGACGGGCUUGAGGGCUGGAGAGGUGAGCGGAAUUCCCGGUGUAGUGGUAAAAUACGUAGAGAUCGGGAGGAACACCAGCGGCGCAGGCGGCUCACUAGACAGUUUCUGACGCUAAGAUACGAAAGCGUGGGGAGCAAACAGGAUUAGAUACCCUGGUAGUCCACGCCCUAAA
RNAcentral lists this ribosomal RNA (588 nucleotides) under uncultured bacterium. RNAcentral describes it as "bacterial SSU rRNA". It matches the Rfam family "Bacterial small subunit ribosomal RNA", at positions 224 to 806 of the family's 1533-position model. The record is from RNAcentral.